Molecule: RNA transcript, 3242 nt
Organism: Populus nigra (black poplar)
Lineage: Eukaryota; Viridiplantae; Streptophyta; Magnoliopsida; Malpighiales; Salicaceae
Gene name: protein DEFECTIVE IN EXINE FORMATION 1-like
Exons: 14
Source: RefSeq, a predicted model, not a curated record
UACCUGCAUGUGAUUAUAAUUUAACAAAAACCAAGGGGCAUUUUGAAAUGUCCUCGUCUCUCUUCAGUUUUCAACUUUUCUUCGUCGAAAAAAUUUAGAUGGAGAGAGAGAUCGAUCGAUCUCCAUAGAACCCUAAUUAGGGUUUAUCAAAAUUCCAUAAAUCCCCAUUAAUUUGAUUACGUAUUCACUUAUCCACUAACCAAACAGUUUCUAAACCGUAAAUUAAUUAAUUCUACCUCUGAAGUGAAAAACCAAAAGCCAUCACAUGAAACCUCCAGCGAUUAGAGUUUUCUUGAUCUGUUUCUUAUUAUUCACCACUUCCAUUCAUGGAGAUGAGUCCAAAAAGAACAAAUUUCGAGACCGAGAAGCCACGGACGAUGCCCUUGGUUACCCUGACAUAGAUGAGGACGCGUUGUUGAAUACACGGUGCCCUAGAAAUCUAGAGCUGAGAUGGCAAACCGAAGUGAGUUCUAGCGUUUACGCUACUCCAUUGAUUGCCGAUAUCAAUAGUGACGGAAAACUUGAUGUAGUGGUUCCUUCUUUUGUUCACUAUCUUGAAGCUCUAGAAGGUUCUGAUGGAGACAAAAUCCCAGGUUGGCCUGCAUUUCACCAAUCAACGGUGCAUGCAAGUCCUCUCCUAUAUGAUAUUGACAAGGAUGGUGUGAGGGAGAUUGCUUUGGCUACUUACAAUGGUGAAGUUCUCUUCUUCAGGGUUUCAGGAUACAUGAUGACUGAUAAACUGGAAGUGCCUCGUAGGAGAGUUAAAAAGAAUUGGUAUGUGGGUCUGGAUCCAGAUCCCGUGGAUCGUUCUCACCCAGAUGUUCAUGAUGACCAACUUGUCUUAGAGGCUACUGAGAACAAAUCACAGUCUCACACAACUGGAAAUACACAUCAAAAUACACCUGAAACAAAUUCUUCGAUUUCUACAUCAACAGAAAAUAGUCAUCCAGCAAAUGCAUCAAUUGAGACUGGAAAGAAAAUGAGCGAGAAUCAAACGAAAACAAUGAUCAAACUGUCCUCGCAAGUCGAUAAUUCUUCUGUAGGUGCUGGGUCAAAUGGAACAGAUAAUGCUCAGAAUGGAACCAAUAAAACUCAGAAUGGAACCAUUACAGUAGAGAAGGAAACCAAUAAUGCAGAGAAUGGAACAAACACUGGAAGAAGGCUUCUCGAAGAUGACAAUUCAAAGGGCUCACAUGAAGGUGGCUCAGAAUCUAAAGAGAAUGACCAUGAAAAUGUUCAUGCGGCAACUGUUGAAAAUGAUGAAGGGUUAGAAGCAGAUGCAGAUUCAUCUUUUGAGCUAUUCCGUGAAAGUGAUGAAUUAGCCGAUGAGUACAGUUAUGACUAUGAUGAUUAUGUUGAUGAAUCCAUGUGGGGAGAUGAAGAAUGGAAAGAAAGGAAACAUGAGAGAUUAGAGGAUUAUGUGAAUAUUGACUCGCAUAUCUUGUGCACUCCUGUGAUUGCUGAUAUUGAUAAUGAUGGAGUAACUGAAAUGAUUGUUGCAGUUUCGUAUUUCUUUGAUCAUGAGUAUUAUGACAAUCCUGAGCAUUUGAAAGAGCUUGGUGAUAUCGAUGUUGGGAAAUAUGUUGCCAGUUCUGUUGUUGUAUUCAACCUUGAUACAAAGCAAGUUAAGUGGACUCGAGAACUAGAUUUAAGUACAAGUACUGCAAAAUUUCGUGCAUAUAUAUACUCUUCGCCUUCGGUGGUUGAUUUGGAUGGUGAUGGGAACUUGGACAUUCUUGUUGGGACUUCAUUUGGCUUGUUCUAUGUCCUAGAUCAUCAUGGAAAUAUUAGGGAAAAUUUCCCUCUGGAAAUGGCUGAAAUUCAAGGCGCUGUAGUUGCAGCUGAUAUCAAUGAUGAUGGAAAAAUUGAACUAGUGACCACUGAUGUACAUGGAAAUGUUGCUGCAUGGACAUCACAAGGAAAAGAAAUUUGGGAAAAGCACCUUAAGAGUCUUGUUUCCCAGGGUCCAACUAUAGGCGAUGUUGAUGGGGAUGGCCAUACUGAUGUUGUAGUCCCUACACUAUCAGGUAACAUAUAUGUUCUUAGUGGCAAGGAUGGUUCUAUUGUUCGGCCUUACCCAUACAGAACUCAUGGGAGAGUGAUGAAUCAAGUUCUUCUUCUUGACUUAAGUAAACGUGGGGAGAAAAACAAGGGACUCACACUUGUUACAACAUCAUUCGAUGGUUAUCUUUACCUUAUAGAUGGACCAACUUCUUGUGCUGAUGUUGUUGAUAUUGGUGAAACCUCAUAUAGCAUGGUCUUGGCAGACAAUGUUGAUGGUGGAGAUGAUCUUGAUCUCAUAGUUUCAACAAUGAAUGGAAAUGUCUUUUGCUUUUCAACUCCUGUUCCACAUCAUCCCCUGAAGGCUUGGAGAUCUAAUAAUCAAGGAAGAAACAAUGUAGCGAACCGCUACAACCGUGAAGGGGUGUAUAUUAAACCUUCAUCAAGAAGUUUCCGUGAUGAGGAGGGGAAGAGCUUCUGGGUGGAAUUUGAGAUUGUGGACAAGUAUAGAAUCCCGUCUGGGUCUCAAGCACCUUAUAAUGUCACUACAACCCUGUUAGUUCCUGGCAAUUAUCAAGGUGAACGACGGAUAAAGCAAAAUCAAAUCUUUGAUCGUCCAGGAAAAUAUCGGAUAAAACUUCCAACAGUUGGAGUGAGAACUACUGGAACUGUUUUGGUGGAGAUGGUUGAUAAGAAUGGACUCUAUUUCUCAGAUGACUUCUCGCUUACAUUCCACAUGCAUUACUAUAAACUGCUGAAGUGGCUCCUUGUCCUCCCAAUGCUUGGAAUGUUUGGUGUGCUUGUCAUCCUUCGUCCACAAGAGGCCGUGCCCUUGCCAUCAUUUUCAAGGAAUACUGACUUGUGAUUAUCAUGUUCCACCCGAUACCCAUGGUGUGCCAAGCUGACCAAAGGGAAACGGUAGUUUCAGCCGAACAAAGGCUGGAUCCUAACAGUGGCCAAGAUAAAAAUUUCAGGUCCAUGAGAAGUUUUUGGAAGUUGAUAUCGCAGAUAUUUGGCUAUGUAGGGAAGCUGUUGAAGAUGAAACACUGUACUGGGUGGUCACGAACAAUGCAAAGUAAGUGUUUUUUUUUUUUUUUUAUUGGGUUUAAGAGAAGGACUAUAAUCUCAAAGUUUGUGUUAUUUAUAACGUAGUGUAUUGAUGAAAAUUAUAAAUGGAGCUGCGAAGAAGAGAGUGAAAUAUUUGUGUAUGGAGUUUAUUAUUAUUUUUAUUUAGUGCUUUA